Molecule: non-coding RNA, 345 nt
Filed under: Glycine max (soybean)
Lineage: Eukaryota; Viridiplantae; Streptophyta; Magnoliopsida; Fabales; Fabaceae
Also listed under: 1 other name
Description: Microsporidia small subunit ribosomal RNA
Rfam family: Eukaryotic small subunit ribosomal RNA
Source: Rfam by way of RNAcentral
CAUUGUUAGAAGUCCACUGAACCUUAUCUUUUAGAGACUAAAAUGAUAAGAUUUUUAACAACUCAGCAAGUUUGAUGUAAAACAUUGUAUAAAUUUUUCAACUCAAUGCAAAAGUUAUCACAUUGUAGAAAUACUUUCACGAUGGAGAAUUAGGGUUCAAUUCAGAAGAAGGAGCCUGAGAAACGACUACCACAUCCAAGGAAGGCAACAGGCAUGCAAAUUACCUAAUCCUAACACGGGGAGGUAGUGAUAAUAAAUAACAAUACCAAACCCAUUGAGUCUGAUAAUUGGAAUGAGUACAAUCUAAAUCUGGUGCUAGCAGUCGUAGUAAUUCCAACUCCAAUG